RNAcentral lists this ribosomal RNA (427 nucleotides) under uncultured Massilia sp. Its description in RNAcentral is "bacterial SSU rRNA". It matches the Rfam family "Bacterial small subunit ribosomal RNA", at positions 355 to 774 of the family's 1533-position model. The record is from RNAcentral. Lineage: Bacteria; Pseudomonadati; Pseudomonadota; Betaproteobacteria; Burkholderiales; Oxalobacteraceae.
UGGGGAAUUUUGGACAAUGGGGGCAACCCUGAUCCAGCAAUGCCGCGUGAGUGAAGAAGGCCUUCGGGUUGUAAAGCUCUUUUGUCAGGGAAGAAACGGGAGUGGCUAAUAUCCAAUCCUAAUGACGGUACCUGAAGAAUAAGCACCGGCUAACUACGUGCCAGCAGCCGCGGUAAUACGUAGGGUGCAAGCGUUAAUCGGAAUUACUGGGCGUAAAGCGUGCGCAGGCGGUUUUGUAAGUCUGUCGUGAAAUCCCCGGGCUUAACCUGGGAAUUGCGAUGGAGACUGCAAGGCUGGAGUCUGGCAGAGGGGGGUAGAAUUCCACGUGUAGCAGUGAAAUGCGUAGAGAUGUGGAGGAACACCGAUGGCGAAGGCAGCCCCCUGGGUCAAGACUGACGCUCAUGCACGAAAGCGUGGGGAGCAAACA